Non-coding RNA from Arachis ipaensis, 465 nucleotides. Lineage: Eukaryota; Viridiplantae; Streptophyta; Magnoliopsida; Fabales; Fabaceae. The record is from RefSeq and is a predicted model, not a curated record.
UUACACCUCUUAACGAUUUUGCCCUUUUUCCAAUAGUGGUUCCACCAAUGACAUGGUGUUGAUCUUGGAACCUGCAAUUCGAAAAGUGUUACAAGAGAUGGUCCCUCCUUGAAGGUCCAGCUGUGUGUCCUGAAGGGUGAUUUUGAAAGUGAGGAUUGGACUGUUGAGGAAUUCAAUAGCAACAUAGAAAGUCCAAGAGAAAGAAAAGGAUCAUUACUCAAGGGAGACACGGCUAUUAUUUUCAAGAAUGUUAGCUGCUGCAAAGGCAGCUCAGGAGUCGAUUCACAAUGGCGCUCUUCUAUCAGAAGAAUACAUUAAAGUUUAUGUUUUGAAUACAUGAUAAAUUUAGUAUGGUUGAACAAUACAUUGAUUUAGGUUUUGAAUUAUAGUUGAUGUAUCAAUACACUUUGUUGAUGUACGGUUGUUAUUUAUUAUUAUAGUUGAUGUAUCAAUACAUUUUGUUUA